UGAGGAAUAUUGGUCAAUGGACGGAAGUCUGAACCAGCCAAGUAGCGUGCAGGAUGACGGCCCUAUGGGUUGUAAACUGCUUUUGUAUGGGGAUAAAGUUAGGGACGUGUCCCUAUUUGCAGGUCCAUCGAAUAAGGACCGGCUAAUUCCGUGCCAGCAGCCGCGGUAAUACGGAAGGUCCAGGCGUUAUCCGGAUUUAUUGGGUUUAAAGGGAGCGUAGGCUGGAGAUUAAGUGUGUUGUGAAAUGUAGACGCUCAACGUCUGAAUUGCGCAGCGCAUACUGGUUUCCUUGAGUACGCACAACGUUGGCGGAAUUCGUCGUGUAGCGGUGAAAUGCUUAGAUAUGACGAAGAACUCCGAUUGCGAAGGCAGCUGACGGGAGCGCAACUGACGCUUAAGCUCGAAGGUGCGGGUAUCAAACAGGAUUAGAUACCCUGGUAGUUCGCCAGUAAACGAUGGAUGCCCGCUGUUGGUACCUGGUAUCAGCGGCUAAGCGAAAGCAUUAAGCAUCCCACCUGGGGAGUACGCCGGCAACGGUG
This 539-nucleotide ribosomal RNA is filed under the name uncultured bacterium. Its description in RNAcentral is "bacterial SSU rRNA". It matches the Rfam family "Bacterial small subunit ribosomal RNA", at positions 355 to 896 of the family's 1533-position model. The record is from RNAcentral.